GGUUAUACUUAUAAUGCAAUAAAAAAUAUUCGGUAAUUAAUUAAUAAAGAUUUGUGAAUAGAUUUUUAAUUUUAUUGGGUGAAAUUUAUAAAAUUAAAGAGUAUUUAUAUUAAUUUUAUGAGGUUAGUAAAUUUAGAUUUUAGACUAGGAUUAGAUACCCUAUUAUUCUAAAUUAAACUUUGGUUACUUGGCUAGUAGUAGUUAUGGUCUUGAAAAUUAAAGAAGUUGGCGGUAUUUUAGUCUAUUCAGAGGAACCUGUCCUGUGAUCGAUGAUCCACGAUUUUUUUUACUUAUUUUAAUUAGUUUGCAUAUCGCCGUAGUUUGAAUAUUUUUAAAAAAAUGGAAUGUUCAAUAAUUUUUGUUUGAAAAGAAUUCAGGUCAAGAUGUAGUUUAUAGAUAAGAAGAGAUGGGUUACAAUAAAUUUAUUUAGGCGGAUUGAUAGAUGAAAUUUUAUUAUAAAGAUGGAUUUGAGGGUAAUUUUAUUUAAUUUGAUAAAAUGAUUUUAGCUCUAAAAUAUGUACAU
RNAcentral lists this ribosomal RNA (523 nucleotides) under Pachnaeus sp. 1 AMV2011a. RNAcentral's name for it is "partial 12S ribosomal RNA". Lineage: Eukaryota; Metazoa; Arthropoda; Insecta; Coleoptera; Curculionidae. The record is from RNAcentral.